GAGGUUUUAGUUAAUUCAUAACACCGCCUUGUCAAGACGAAAUAAUGGGUUAAACCCCCAUACUCCUCU
RNAcentral lists this transfer RNA (69 nucleotides) under Espadarana prosoblepon (emerald glass frog). RNAcentral's name for it is "tRNA-Asp". It matches the Rfam family "tRNA". From Rfam's summary of the family: Transfer RNA (tRNA) molecules are approximately 80 nucleotides in length. Lineage: Eukaryota; Metazoa; Chordata; Amphibia; Anura; Centrolenidae. The record is from RNAcentral.